AGAGUUUGAUCCUGGCUCAGGAUGAACGCUAGCGGCAGGCCUAAUACAUGCAAGUCGAACGGUUCCAGCAAUGGAACGAGUGGCGCACGGGUGAGUAACGCGUACAGAAUCUGCCUCGAACUGGGGGAAAGUCAUUGGAAACGAUGAAUAAUCCCGCAUAAUGUACUGUGGAGGCAUCUCUGUGGUAAGAAAGACUUCGGUUGGUUUGAGAUGAUUGUGCGUCUGAUUAGCUAGUUGGAGUGGUAAAGGCACACCAAGGCUACGAUCAGUAGGGGGCGUGAGAGCGUGACCCCCCACACGGGUACUGAGAACGGACCCGACUCCUACGGGAGGCAGCAGUAAGGAAUAUUGGGCAAUGGGCGAAAGCCUGACCCAGCCAUGCCGCGUGAAGGAUGAAGGCGUUACGCGUCGUAAACUUCUUUUGUAUGGGAAGAAUGACGGGGAUUUAUCCCUGGAGAGACGGUACCAUAAGAAUAAGCACCGGCUAACUCCGUGCCAGCAGCCGCGGUAAUACGGAGGGUGCAAGCGUUAUCCGGAAUCACUGGGUUUAAAGGGUACGUAGGCUGUUAGUCAAGUCAUCAGUGAAAGGCCGUCGCUUAACGAUGGGAAUGCUGAUGAAACUGGCUAGCUAGAAUUGAGUUAAGGUAGUC
Molecule: ribosomal RNA, 650 nt
Filed under: uncultured bacterium
Lineage: Bacteria
Description: bacterial SSU rRNA
Rfam family: Bacterial small subunit ribosomal RNA
Source: RNAcentral